Molecule: ribosomal RNA, 553 nt
Filed under: uncultured archaeon
Lineage: Archaea
Description: bacterial SSU rRNA
Rfam family: Archaeal small subunit ribosomal RNA
Source: RNAcentral
CGGGGUGCACCAGGCGCGAAAACUUUACAAUGCCGGCAACGGCGAUAAGGGAACCUCGAGUGCCAGGUUACAAAUCUGGCUGUCGUGAUGCCUAAAAAGCAUUGCAUAACAAGGGCCGGGCAAGACCGGUGCCAGCCGCCGCGGUAACACCGGCGGCUCGAGUGGUAACCGUUAUUAUUGGGUCUAAAGGGUCUGUAGCCGGCCGGGUAAGUCUCUUGGGAAAUCUGGCAGCUUAACUGUCAGGCUUUCAGGAGAUACUGCCUGGCUCGAGGCCGGGAGAGGUGAGAGGUACUUCAGGGGUAGGGGUGAAAUCUUGUAAUCCUUGAAGGACCACCAGUGGCGAAGGCGUCUCACCAGAACGGACCUGACGGCAAGGGACGAAAGCUAGGGGCACGAACCGGAUUAGAUACCCGGGUAGUCCUAGCCGUAAACGAUACUCGCUAGGUGUCGGCCACGGUGCGACCGUGGUCGGUGCCGUAGGGAAGCCGUGAAGCGAGCCACCUGGGAAGUACGGCCGCAAGGCUGAAACUUAAAGGAAUUGGCGGGGGAGCAC